Non-coding RNA from Parelaphostrongylus tenuis, 70 nucleotides. NCBI's taxonomy places the organism in Eukaryota, Metazoa, Nematoda, Chromadorea, Rhabditida, Metastrongylidae. The record is from the annotation of a GenBank genome assembly.
GGUCCUGUGGUGUAGUGGUUAUCACGUCUGCUUUACACGUAGGUCGCCGGAUCGAUGCCGGCCAGCACCU